This 553-nucleotide long non-coding RNA is filed under the name Fukomys damarensis (Damara mole-rat). RNAcentral describes it as "lncRNA (ENSFDAG00000022251.1)". Lineage: Eukaryota; Metazoa; Chordata; Mammalia; Rodentia; Bathyergidae. The record is from RNAcentral.
GGGAGUGUGACCACACACUGCACACCGGUCCUAAGAACAGCAGCUUCGCCUAGGUGUGGUGUUCUUGGAAGGGCAGCACAAGGCCCUGAUGAUCCAGAGGACCCCAAGUCUGUUGCCUCACUCUUUAGACCUGAGUCACACCUCUCAUCGGAUCCUAGGAACUGAGUCACUGGGCCAAAUAUGUUCAUCCAAGACCCCAGACGAGGCGCAGCUCAGGGACUGCUCAUUCUGCCCUUGGAAGGUGAAACAGCUACAAACAAUGUCACCAGAGGUCCUGCUGUGUUCCAGGAAAACUUUAAAGAUAGGCAGGCUACCCAGUCUGUUGACCCUGGCCUUAGAAGAAAGGGUUAAACUCCAGUCUUUCCAGCUGUAACCCAGCAAAUAAAAUCAUCAACUGAAAAGUCAAUUGUUGUCUUCUUUCAUUUCCAGUAUUUGAAAUAUUUACUUUAUUUUUUUUUUUAAAGAAAAACAAAUCUCUACAGUGUAAAAACAUGCUCCUGAGUGUAACGAUGGUUUUAGGAGAACAGAUGGGAAGCAUGAGACUUGAUUCUCC